AGACCCGAAACCCGGUGAUCUAGCCAUGGGCAGGUUGAAGGUUGGGUAACACUAACUGGAGGACCGAACCGACUAAUGUUGAAAAAUUAGCGGAUGACCUGUGGCUGGGGGUGAAAGGCCAAUCAAACCGGGAGAUAGCUGGUUCUCCCCGAAAGCUAUUUAGGUAGCGCCUCGUGAAUUCAUCUCCGGGGGUAGAGCACUGUUUCGGCUAGGGGGCCAUCCCGGCUUACCAACCCGAUGCAAACUGCGAAUACCGGAGAAUGUUAUCACGGGAGACACACGGCGGGUGCUAACGUCCGUCGUGAAGAGGGAAACAACCCAGACCGCCAGCUAAGGUCCCAAAGUCAUGGUUAAGUGGGAAACGAUGUGGGAAGGCCCAGACAGCCAGGAUGUUGGCUUAGAAGCAGCCAUCAUUUAAAGAAAGCGUAAUAGCUCACUGGUCGAGUCGGCCUGCGCGGAAGAUGUAACGGGGCUAAACCAUGCACCGAAGCUGCGGCAGCGAACGUAUCACCCAAGACAACUUUACGGAGUUGACGAUUGACGGAGCGAAGCGACGUCAAAGCGUUCAUUAAAGUCGAGUUGGCUUAGGGAUACGUUCGUUGGGUAGGGGAGCGUUCUGUAAGCCUGUGAAGGUGUGUCGUGAGGCAUGCUGGAGGUAUCAGAAGUGCGAAUGCUGACAUAAGUAACGAUAAAGCGGGUGAAAAGCCCGCUCGCCGGAAGACCAAGGGUUCCUGUCCAACGUUAAUCGGGGCAGGGUGAGUCGACCCCUAAGGCGAGGCCGAAAGGCGUAGUCGAUGGGAAACGGGUUAAUAUUCCCGUACUUGGUGUUACUGCGAAGGGGGGACGGAGAAGGCUAUGUUGGCCGGGCG
This 869-nucleotide ribosomal RNA is filed under the name Salmonella enterica. RNAcentral describes it as "partial 23S ribosomal RNA". It matches the Rfam family "Bacterial large subunit ribosomal RNA", at positions 711 to 1497 of the family's 2925-position model. The record is from RNAcentral. Lineage: Bacteria; Pseudomonadati; Pseudomonadota; Gammaproteobacteria; Enterobacterales; Enterobacteriaceae. RNAcentral also lists the same sequence under 1 other name.